UCUGACAUACAUUGUUGACCUCCGGCUUCCAAGACAAAUCUGGACCUGAUGUGAAGUCAUUACAGUCAGGGACUGUCCCAUAGUGAGCUUUAAGGCUCUUUUUAUGAGGAGGGCUGUUCUAUGCUUAGCUAAAGCAUCUGUUUGCAAUUG
Molecule: long non-coding RNA, 150 nt
Organism: Lutra lutra (Eurasian river otter)
Lineage: Eukaryota; Metazoa; Chordata; Mammalia; Carnivora; Mustelidae
Exons: 3
Source: RefSeq, a predicted model, not a curated record